Molecule: ribosomal RNA, 597 nt
Filed under: uncultured bacterium
Lineage: Bacteria
Description: bacterial SSU rRNA
Rfam family: Bacterial small subunit ribosomal RNA
Source: RNAcentral
AGGGUUUGAUCCUGGCUCAGGAUUAACGCUGGCGGUAUGUCUAAUACAUGCAAGUCGAACGAGGCUUCGGCCUAGUGGCGAACGGGUGCGUAACACGUUGGAACCUGCCCUGAACUCAGGGAUAACAUUUAGAAAUAGAUGCUAAUACCGGAUAGUCCCGAAAGGGUAAAGAUUUUUCGGUUCGGGAGGGUCCUGCGGCCUAUCAGCUUGUUGGUGAGGUAAUAGCUCACCAAGGCUAUGACGGGUAGCUGGUCUGAGAGGAUGAUCAGCCACAAUGGGACUGAGACACGGCCCAUACUCCUACGGGAGGCAGCAGUAAAGAAUCUUUCGCAAUGGGGGAAACCCUGACGAAGCAAUACCGCGUGGACGAUGAAGGUCGAAAGAUCGUAAAGUCCUUUUCUGAGGGAAGAAUUCUGACGGUACCUCAGGAAUAAGCACCGGCUAACUACGUGCCAGCAGCCGCGGUAAUACGUAGGGUGCAAGCGUUAUCCGGAAUCAUUGGGCGUAAAGCGUCCGCAGGCGGUUAAUUAAGCCAAACAUUAAAUCUUGGAGCCCAACUUCAAGGCUGUGUUCGGAACUGGUUAACUAGAGUCUUUC